This 724-nucleotide long non-coding RNA is filed under the name Gossypium barbadense (sea-island cotton). RNAcentral's name for it is "long non-coding RNA (GBAR_LNC021664)". Lineage: Eukaryota; Viridiplantae; Streptophyta; Magnoliopsida; Malvales; Malvaceae. The record is from RNAcentral.
AAAAAUCCACCAAUCAAGGAUUGCCAUGUGUGAUAUUUUUAUUCAUUUUUACAAAAUAUUAUUUAAAUUGCCAAAAUUCCAUUAGAAAUAAUUUUGAAAAUUAAAAUGUUUUUAUAAGUUACAAAAGUUACUGUCCAAAAAGAAAAAACAUUCUCUGAGGUCGAGGUUAGGGUUCUUGUUUCAGAUGACAUUGCAAGUUGGAGAUGCCUAUAGGAAGCUCAAAAUCUUAUGGUGGGGGAUUGAGUGAGCCGAUUUGUAUUUCAAAUACCUUGGAGCAAAGGUAAGAAAUUAUAUGCGUGAUCAAAGUAUAAAGAGGUAUUUUUUUGGAAGGGGGACUUUGAUCAAUACCAUAAUUUGAAAGAAAUUAAUCUCAGUCUCUCAUUAAAGCUAUGGGUUAUCAGGUUAUAGAUUUAAUUUCCAAUUUGAUACUUUAUGUACUUGAUUAUUGAACCUUUUUAUUUUAUUUUAUUUUAUUUUACUUGAUGACUAAAAUUUUUUAUUAGUUGUUUGUACUUUAUUAUUAUCAGAUUGUCGUUGAUUGAUAUGAGUGAAAUACAGUUUUGAUGGAAGUAUGAUUUAACAAAUAUAUGGUAGGUUGUAGGGUGGGUGCAAAUUUUUUGAAUGGAUCAGAAAUUAUGAAGGGAAUGGGAAUGGGAAUGUUGAUGAUUAUAUUGGAUGAAGGAACUUUGUCACUUGAGUUUCUAAACCUCAUGUUUGAAUAGCU